Molecule: non-coding RNA, 2563 nt
Organism: Misgurnus anguillicaudatus (oriental weatherfish)
Lineage: Eukaryota; Metazoa; Chordata; Actinopteri; Cypriniformes; Cobitidae
Source: RefSeq, a predicted model, not a curated record
UCCAUUUCUGUCCCCCAAGGUACAAUCUACACAAAAGUACCCCAUAGGGCUCAUUAUUGGACCUCAAGGUACAUGUAUGUACCUUUUUGAGAGUCAAAAAGGUACAUAUUUGUUCCCAACCAUUAAAAGGAACAUAUAUGUACCAUUUCUUUUAAAGAAUAAGGUACAAUGUUAAGAGACAGCCUCUGUCAUUUUUUUUUAAUUGUUGUUCUAGACAACUGCUGUAAAUAACCAUUGUAACCAUUGUGUCAAUUUUUGUUUCCUUUAGUUGGGCACAUGGGUCUUGACGUAGUUUUAGUUUUCUUCUGUUCAUUGACAGUGUGUUUAAUUUAAUGUUUUAAUUAAAAAAAAGUUAAUUUCACUUAUUAAGAACUGUGAUAUGAACUCAAAAACUGCUAUUGAUUAACCAUAAUUUAAACUGAAUAAAUACUGAAUCUGAAUCCCUCACACAUCCACUGAAGAAACGCGCUUUUAUUUUGACACGCGCCCAUCCCCCCACAUCUCACGGUCGGAGUUGAGCUUCACAGAGCACCGCAACAGGAUGACGACAACAGACAUGAAGAGCAUUAACAGUUCAGCGCAAACGUUUCCCGCGCAAGUUUGAAUCUCUCUCAGUCGGGGUGAUUGACUGACAGACUACGUUACUCUCUACCAAACGGUUAUUCACUUAUAAAACCUUUUAAAGUUUAGCGCAAACGUUUCCUGCGCAAGUUUGAAUCUCUCUGUCAGUCAGGAGGGAGAUUGACUGACUGACUGACUACUCGCCACCCAACAGUCAUUUACCCAGAAACCUUUUAAAGUUUAGCGCAAACGUUUCCUGCGCAAGUUUGAAUCUCUCUGUCAGUCAGGAGGGAGAUUGACUGACUGACUGACUACUCGCCACCCAACAGUCAUUUACCCAGAAACCUUUUAAAGUUUAGCACAAACGUUUCCUGCGCAAGUUUGAAUCUCUCUCAGUCAGUCAGGAGGGAGAUUGACUGACUGACUGACUACUCGCCACCAAACAGUCAUUUACCCAGAAACCUUUUAAAGUUUAGCACAAACGUUUCCUGCGCAAGUUUGGAUCUUUACCAUUCAGGAGACUGGCUGACUGUUCUCAACCAACCAUAAUUCACAUGCAAAAACUUUAAAGAUAAGUAUGAAAGUGCCCAGACCAGUUUUCAAUCUUUAAAUUACCAUUAAGGAGACUGACUGACUAUCAUCUACCACCCGUCAUUAACACAACAAAAAAUAAAGAAAUGUUCCUCCAUAUGGACCUAUUCAUUUACUCAUUAUGCUGUGAGUACACCACAGUUUUAUCAGUGAAAAAAAUUAUAUUUGUGUGUUUUCUCACUGCUUGGCAAGGACAGAUGUGGCCCUGUUAAAAAUGUUUAAAUGUUGUUUGGUUUAAGGAACAGCACACUGAUUUUGUUAUAAAAUAUUCCUGUUUGGACAGUCUGUUAAAGUAAUAAAGGAAUGGUUGAUAUAUUUCAUAAGGAAAGUGUAAAUGUAAUAUUAUAAAACGGCCAGUUCUGGUUCUUCAUUCUGAUUGGUUGAAACGCGUUCUCAGCUGUGAUAAAACUCACCGGUAAACCCACGGCUCAAACCGUAUUACAUAGCUUGUAUCACUGCGCCACUGUUGUUGUGUACUGUAGAAAAUAACUGUCAAAAUGUCGGAUUUUGUUGUCAAUUUUGAUUUAUUGGGUGGGCUAAUUAUAUUAUAUUGUAUUAAUUAUAAUCCUCAACAAUUGAACAAUUAAUGGCGAUAUCCAGAUAAGUGUCAAUAAAUAUUGUUGAGUUUUCUUGUUAAUGCUUCCGUGAGGAGUAGUUGUACCGUAUAUUAUCCACUGGGUGGCGAUCACUGAUCAGUGGUGGCGAUCUUACACAACAUAAACACUGAUGCUUUCACUCAACACUUUAAAACUCAAGUGUAUUUUUUGAUUAGCGAUCUGAAUCGGAUCUCUAAAAAAAGUCAUUCACAGAAAUGGAAUUAUCCCAACAUUUUGCUCAAAAUUUGAGAGGAUAAAAGAACAAUUGAAGGUAGGGUGAAACGUUUUUAUUUUGUUGUUUGAAAGCAGAGGGUCUGUUCUUUCAUUUGAUAUAUUGUAUGUUUAUAUAUCUAAAGAAGAACAUUUUUGUGGAAGGCAUUAAUGUUUAACUAAAGCUGGGUGGCAACUCUUUUAAAAAACGCUGGCAGGGAAAGUGUUAAGCAUGCUUCCAAGCAUAUUUGAUCCACACGUCAACAGUUGCACGGUAUAAAUGUUAAUGUAUAAAUUAGAUGAAUGUUGAUUUAUGAAAAUAAACACCACAGUCUUAAUGAAUCAUAUUUUCAUUGUGUCUUUGCUCCGUCUGUUUUGCUUGGGAACCGCUCUGUUGCAGACACACUUGAGUCUGAGGAACUACUUUGUUUGGCGGAAGACUAAUAUCUGUACUAAUAUAAUUACAACUUAUUUGCUGUGUUUUAUUAUAUGAAAUCCUGCUAUACAUAAUUUGAAGCAACCGUUUUAUAAACGCAAUAAGCCCCGCGAAGCAGUGGGUUACCAGUGCAUUUUAUAACGGCUAAGGGGGUUUUAGGCACUCCGCU